AAAAUGUUUGUUUCCUUAUAUUUAAAAUAAGAUAGAAAUGCCUAGCUUGUGAGUCUUUGUGAGUUUUGAGGGCAUAAGACACUGAGUGCGUUUAACACUGUUCCGUUUUUGAAUAGAUGUGUCUCUUUUGUUCUUUUUCAUUACCUAGAACUGUGCUGAGGCUAUUGUAGAAACUCAGUAAUGAGCUGAUUUUACACUUUAUCUUCCUAAUCCUUGCUAUGACAUUCUUCUUUUUCUAUUUUCUUUCAGCUUCAGGACUGAUGAAGUUGCAUUUCUGAACUAGUAUUAAAAGGGUGAGAGAGAUUUAUGUGAAACAACUGAAACAUUUCAGUGUCAAAAUACUCCCAAAUACAGAACAACAGAGUAGAUCUGUGUGCUCACUCUUGCAAGAAAGGAAGAAGGAGGAUCUGGAGGAAAUUGAACAAUAAAGCUUCCUAGCUGAAUCCAGUAAAUUUUCCCAACCUCUCCAGAAUAUGAAAAAAAAAAAUGUUGCUUUUCUGUUUUGGUAAUUUUUCACAGUUAUGAAAGAAUUGGUGAGAGCAGUUUAGGAGAUGCAAUGACACUGUAUAACAGAAGAAAAA
Molecule: long non-coding RNA, 581 nt
Filed under: Homo sapiens (human)
Lineage: Eukaryota; Metazoa; Chordata; Mammalia; Primates; Hominidae
Description: HSALNT0178968
Source: RNAcentral